ACGGAAGGCAGCAGUGGGGAAUAUUGCACAAUGGGGGAAACCCUGAUGCAGCGACGCCGCGUGAAGGAAGAAGUAUCUCGGUAUGUAAACUUCUAUCAGCAGGGAAGAUAAUGACGGUACCUGACUAAGAAGCCCCGGCUAACUACGUGCCAGCAGCCGCGGUAAUACGUAGGGGGCAAGCGUUAUCCGGAUUUACUGGGUGUAAAGGGAGCGUAGACGGAACGGCAAGUCUGAUGUGAAAGGCUGGGGCUCAACCCCGGGACUGCAUUGGAAACUGUCGGUCUUGAGUGCCGGAGGGGUAAGCGGAAUUCCUAGUGUAGCGGUGAAAUGCGUAGAUAUUAGGAGGAACACCAGUGGCGAAGGCGGCUUACUGGACUGUAACUGACGUUGAGGCUCGAAAGCGUGGGGAGCAAACAGGAUUAGAUACCCUGGUA
RNAcentral lists this ribosomal RNA (434 nucleotides) under uncultured Blautia sp. RNAcentral's name for it is "partial 16S ribosomal RNA". It matches the Rfam family "Bacterial small subunit ribosomal RNA", at positions 341 to 792 of the family's 1533-position model. Lineage: Bacteria; Bacillati; Bacillota; Clostridia; Lachnospirales; Lachnospiraceae. The record is from RNAcentral.